RNAcentral lists this ribosomal RNA (89 nucleotides) under Chaetomium madrasense. Its description in RNAcentral is "partial 28S ribosomal RNA". It matches the Rfam family "Eukaryotic large subunit ribosomal RNA", at positions 1 to 86 of the family's 3401-position model. RNAcentral also lists the same sequence under 1 other name. Lineage: Eukaryota; Fungi; Ascomycota; Sordariomycetes; Sordariales; Chaetomiaceae. The record is from RNAcentral.
GGUUGACCUCGGAUCAGGUAGGAAGACCCGCUGAACUUAAGCAUAUCAAUAAGCGGAGGAAAAGAAACCAACAGGGAUUGCCCUAGUAA